This is a long non-coding RNA of Gigantopelta aegis, 349 nucleotides long. RefSeq lists it as uncharacterized. The record is from RefSeq and is a predicted model, not a curated record. The transcript is spliced from 3 exons. Lineage: Eukaryota; Metazoa; Mollusca; Gastropoda; Neomphalida; Peltospiridae.
UCGAUAACACGGACGUGACACAUUACGCUAGUGAAAUAGAAUUCUUUUUUAUUUCAAAGGCACAACGUCGAAUGUUGGCCUAGUAUCAGUUUCGCAAUACUCACUACAUUCCUAGCAGAAGGUCGUACGACAGUAAUAUCAACUAACACACACGAAAUGGCGUCCCCAGUUCUACAGCCCACUAUUGUUGCUUGUCCACAUUUCAACAAGGAGGAAGCUGCCCAAGGCUUGAGGAAAGCAAUGAAAGGAUUGGGUACGGAUGAAGCUGCCAUUAUUCGCAUAAUGCUCGCCCAUAACAACCAGCAAAGACGUGAAAUUGAGCUGCAGUUUAAAACGCUGUUUGGAAAGG